Molecule: ribosomal RNA, 324 nt
Filed under: uncultured bacterium
Lineage: Bacteria
Description: bacterial SSU rRNA
Rfam family: Bacterial small subunit ribosomal RNA
Source: RNAcentral
GAUGAACGCUGGCGGCGUGCCUAACACAUGCAAGUCGAGCGAAGCGAUUUAACGGAAGUUUUCGGAUGGAAGUUAAAUUGACUGAGCGGCGGACGGGUGAGUAACGCGUGGGUAACCUGCCUCAUACAGGGGGAUAACAGUUAGAAAUGACUGCUAAUACCGCAUAAGCGCACAGCAUCGCAUGAUGCAGUGUGAAAAACUCCGGUGGUAUGAGAUGGACCCGCGUCUGAUUAGCUAGUUGGUGGGGUAACGGCCUACCAAGGCGACGAUCAGUAGCCGACCUGAGAGGGUGACCGGCCACAUUGGGACUGAGACACGGCCCAA